AGUGAAGCGGGAAGAGCUCAAAUUUAAAAUCUGGCUUUAUGCCCGAGUUGUAUUCUAUAGAAGUGUUUUCCUUUGAGUACCGAGAUACAAGUCUUCUGGAAAGAAGCAUCAUAGAGGGUGAGAAUCCCGUCCAUGAUCUCGAGUGGCUUAAUUUUGUGAUACACUUUCUACGAGUCAGGUUGUUUGGGAAUGCAGCCUAAAAUGGGUGGUAAAUUUCAUCUAAAGCUAAAUAUUGGCGAGAGACCGAUAGCGAACAAGUACCGUGAGGGAAAGAUGAAAAGAACUUUGAAAAGAGAGUUAAACAGUACGUGAAAUUGUUGAAAGGGAAACGUUUGAAACCAGUCAGUUGACUUGUAAUCAAUCUAUCUCGCGAUGGAUGCACUUGCAAGUUUUACUCGUCAAUGUCAGUUUGAUGGGUUGGAAAAAGAUGAUUGAAAUGUGGCUAUCUUCGGGUAGUGUUAUAGUCAAUCAUGAAAUACAACCUGUUGGACUGAGGAAUGCAGUUGAAAUGUCGGCUUCGGCUUCUAAUCAACUUAGGUCAUUGACUUAAUGGUUUUAAAUGACCCGUCUUGAAACACGGACCAAGGAGUCUAACAUAUAUGCGAGUGUUUGAGUGGCAAACUCACACGCGUAAUGAAAGUGAACGUAGGUGCGAAUCCGUCUGGAGGCAGCAUCGGCCGACCCUGACGUUUUUAACUGACGGGUUUGAGCAAAAGCAUAUCUGUUGGGACCCGAAAGAUGGUGAACUAUGCCUGAAUAGGGUGAAGUCAGAGGAAACUCUGAUGGAGGCUCGUAGCGAUUCUGACGUGCAAAUCGAUCGUCAAAUUUGGGUAUAGGGGCGAAAGACCUA
RNAcentral lists this ribosomal RNA (850 nucleotides) under Pygmaeomyces pinuum. RNAcentral describes it as "partial large subunit ribosomal RNA". It matches the Rfam family "Eukaryotic large subunit ribosomal RNA", at positions 92 to 934 of the family's 3401-position model. Lineage: Eukaryota; Fungi; Mucoromycota; Umbelopsidomycetes; Umbelopsidales; Pygmaeomycetaceae. The record is from RNAcentral.